AACCCCCAUUACAUAUAUAGCUUAUUAAUUAAACGAGCUGAAAAGAAAUCACAUCACAGAAAGAUGUUGCUUUUGGUAGUACUUCUUUUGACUCUUUCUCAAGUGAUCAGUGCAAAAUUUUUAUUAGUCAACACGACUAUACUUCACAAUGCUGUUGAAAAGGGAGCCGUCUGUAUGGAAGUGCUCCUGCAUACCUGCUUGAUAGGGGAACUGGCUAUGGAGUUAACAAUUAACUUGUUCGCAUUGAGGUUAUCAAUAUUUGGGCGGGGAUGGUGUCCUACGACCUCAGAGUGCAUCUCACAUGCUGCUUCCGUGUUGGGAUCAUCAAUACCCAUGGAUGAUCAAUAUUCUUUUAAGGGAAUAUAAAGCAACAAGCCUAACGAAAAUCCAGACUUUUUAAAAUGGAAUAGAGUAAAGUUUAACUAUUGGGAUGAGUCAUCUUUUACCGGUAAUAUUGAAGAAGUUGACCCAGUAAGAGAGAAUAUUUUUUCAUAUUAGAGCUAGAAAAUAUGUAUUUUACUAAAUUUUCUUUGUUGAAAAUGACAAUUUUUUUUAUUAACUAAGUAGGUUACAGCCUAUAGGACUCCACUUCAGAGGGGCAAGAGUUUUCCUUGCCAUCAUGGAGGAUUUAUUAUACAAAGGAAUGUGGAAAGCUGAAAAUAAAAACUAUUUUGGGUGAACCACAUAUUGAAGAGUUAUAUAAAAAAGUUGUUGCAUUGCACUUCUUCUUCCCUGAAUAUGUAAUACAACAUAUUUGGACACCACUUUUCGUUAUUAAUUCGGCCUAUGACUCUUGGCAGAUUUCAGGGUAAUAUUUAUUAGGGCAGUUAUAAAUAGAAGAAGACCAACUUCACCAAGUGGAUAUUUCAUAACCUGCUGCCAUUCCCACUAAGGCAUUGAAACACCGAGCUAUUGGUUCAACCCCAACUCUCCAAUAUUGUUUGAUAAGAAAAUUGCUCAAGCAGUUGCCAAGUGGUUCUUUGUUGAGAGUAGUAAAUUCCAAGAGAUAUCUUGCCCUUAUCCUUAUGGAAAAUUUUGCCAAAGCUAGGAACUGGGAGAGGAUGUUGAUAUACUACGAGUAUUUCUGAUAUUUUCUUAAUGAUUAAUCCACUCAUGUAUUUAUGGAAAGUAUCAAGUCACUUGAGGUCGCUUAAAAUUGUUAUUCAAACUUUAUCAUGUUAUCGUAAGUUGGUAUA
RNA transcript from Nicotiana tabacum (common tobacco), 1196 nucleotides. It is a transcript of the gene named pectin acetylesterase 8-like, with no coding region annotated. Lineage: Eukaryota; Viridiplantae; Streptophyta; Magnoliopsida; Solanales; Solanaceae. The record is from RefSeq and is a predicted model, not a curated record.